RNAcentral lists this ribosomal RNA (465 nucleotides) under uncultured bacterium. Its description in RNAcentral is "bacterial SSU rRNA". It matches the Rfam family "Bacterial small subunit ribosomal RNA", at positions 338 to 795 of the family's 1533-position model. The record is from RNAcentral.
CCUACGGGCCGCACCAGUGGGGAAUAUUGCACAAUGGGCGCAAGCCUGAUGCAGCCAUGCCGCGUGUGUGAAGAAGGCCUUCGGGUUGUAAAGCACUUUCAGCGAGGAGGAAGGUGGUGAGCUUAAUACGCUCAUCAAUUGACGUUACUCGCAGAAGAAGCACCGGCUAACUCCGUGCCAGCAGCCGCGGUAAUACGGAGGGUGCAAGCGUUAAUCGGAAUUACUGGGCGUAAAGCGCACGCAGGCGGUUUGUUAAGUCAGAUGUGAAAUCCCCGGGCUCAACCUGGGAACUGCAUUUGAAACUGGCAAGCUAGAGUCUCGUAGAGGGGGGUAGAAUUCCAGGUGUAGCGGUGAAAUGCGUAGAGAUCUGAAGGAAUACCAGUGGCGAAGGCGGCCCCCUGGACAAAGACUGACGCUCAGAUGCGAAAGCGUGGGGAUCAAACAGGAUUAGAUACCCGCGUAGUC